RNAcentral lists this ribosomal RNA (468 nucleotides) under uncultured bacterium. RNAcentral describes it as "partial 16S ribosomal RNA". It matches the Rfam family "Bacterial small subunit ribosomal RNA", at positions 28 to 507 of the family's 1533-position model. The record is from RNAcentral.
GACGAACGCUGGCGGCGUGCUUAACACAUGCAAGUCGAACGGAAAGACCCUGCUUUUGUGGGGUGCUCGAGUGGCGCACGGGUGAGUAACACGUGUGUAACCUCCCCCUGACUUUGGGAUAACUUCAGGAAACUGGGGCUAAUACCGGAUAGGAGCUCCUGCUGCAUGGUGGGCGUUGGAAAGUUUCGGCGGUUGGGGCAGGACUCGCGGCUUAUGAGCUUGUUGGUGGGGUAGUUGCUUACCAAGGCUUUGACGGCUAGCCGGCCUGAGAGGGUGAACAGCGACAUUGGGACUGAGAGACGGCGCAGACGCCAACGGGAGGCAGCAGUGGGGAAUAUUGCGCAAUGGGCGGAAGCCUGAUGCAGCAACGCCGCGUGCGGGAUGACGGCCUUCGGGUUGUAAACCGCUGUCGCCGGUGACGAAGCGUGAGUGACGGUAAUGGGUAAAGAAGCAACGGCUAACUACGUG